Molecule: ribosomal RNA, 459 nt
Filed under: uncultured bacterium
Lineage: Bacteria
Description: partial 16S ribosomal RNA
Rfam family: Bacterial small subunit ribosomal RNA
Source: RNAcentral
GAUGAACGCUGGCGGCGUGCCAAAUACAUGCAAGUCGAGCGGUAAGGUCCCUUCGGGGAUACACGAGCGGCGGACGGCUGAGUAACACGUAGGAACGUACCCCAAAGUGAGGGAUAAGCACCAGAAAUGGUGUCUAAUACCGCAUGUGCUCUAAGGAGUAAAGCUUCGGCGCUUUGGGAACGGCCUGCGUCCGAUUAGCUAGUUGGUGAGGUAAUAGCUCACCAAGGCGACGAUCGGUAGCUGGUCUGAGAGGAUGAUCAGCCAGACUGGGACAGAGACACGGCCCAGACUCCUACGGGAGGCAGCAGUAGGGAAUUUUCCACAAUGGGCGAAAGCCUGAUGGAGCAACGCCGCGUGCAGGAUGAAUGCCUUCGGGUUGUAAACUGCUUUUAUAUGUGACGAUUAUGACGGUAACAUAUGAAUAAGAAUCGGCUUACUCCGUGCCAGCCGCCGCGGUAA